This 77-nucleotide transfer RNA is filed under the name Phycisphaerae bacterium. Its description in RNAcentral is "tRNA-Met". It matches the Rfam family "tRNA". Rfam says of the family: Transfer RNA (tRNA) molecules are approximately 80 nucleotides in length. The record is from RNAcentral. Lineage: Bacteria; Pseudomonadati; Planctomycetota; Phycisphaerae.
GGCGGAGUAGCUCAGCUGGUUAGAGCGCCGGAUUCAUAAGCCGGAAGUCGUGGGUUCGAGUCCCACCUCCGCUACCA